UUUUUAGGGGAAUAAAGAAGUGUCCUGUGGAGAGGAGUUGCGAGGAUGAUACCGGAGCGCGUCGGUGAGCGGAUCCUUUUCCACCGGUGAUAAUAAAGCCUUAGAAAUAAAGCCUUAGAAAUAGUUGGGAGGAGGGAGGGACCGCUAUUCCUGCUAGGGCAGGUUUACAACUGAUGUCUUACACCCACUCCAGGAAACAAACCUGGGUAGGGACUGACGUGUUACGCCUCUUCUAAUGACAUUUUUUUUCUUUCCACCUCCUUUUCUUUGCCAUGUAACACAGAGGAGAAGCCCCCUGAAACGCACGCCACCUAUCUUCACGGGAGGGGAUAAUUGAGGAGAGCCAAACGUGAGCAUCUUCUGGGUUGAACGUUAAGUUUUUUUUCUUUUUUCCCUCCCUCUCUCUCCCCCUCUUUUCUUUCCCCUCACUCUCCUUUCUCUUUCUCCAUCUCUUCUGUUUUUGAGUGAAACCAACUAUGUCGGGCUUCGACGCGCGGAGCAAAGAACAGGCGACAGUGUUUUUUGCCUUUCUUCGCGUGAAUGCAUGCAUGCUUGUGUGUGUGUGUGUGCGCGUGCGUCCGCGCGCGAGUGUGUGCACGUGUAGAAGGGGGGGAGAAACUUGAUGCGCGUCCACGCUGGCUGCAGUCAUCAUGGGAACCUGGCAGAGGAGAGGCGCCCGGCAUUUCCAUUUGAAAAGAGGCAAUCACCAGGCCACUGCUGAGCCCAUUGUCCGGUGGUGGAGGGGAAGCGGCGGCAAUUUACAGGCAGGGGGAGUUAACCUUCUGAUGAGGUUGACGCCUCGUUCAUCUCACUGCCUCUCCUGCGGCGAGGCCGUUAACCGGGCCAGCUUCUAACCACACCCACGAGGUCCUGACCUCAUCUGUGAUCCCCAUUUGUAUGAAGGAUGCUUCAUAUUUUCACCCGCGCAGCCGAUUGGCUACGCAACGCGACAACAAAACAAAAAAAAAACAUCCAACAGAUUAAGACUGUGACAAAGGAAGGUCCAGGUCAUGCCGUUUGAAAUUUUCAGAGAAUUAUUUGUUCCCAACGAAUAACAGUGACCACAACAGAUAGAGACGUCAGCUGGGCCCUGGCUCCUGGAAUGUUUCCUUUCAAAUGAGCGACCGCAGACAUGAUUCAGCGGAACUGGGAGAGUUCUAAUUUCUCACUGAUCUAAAUCAAUUUUCAAAGGCAUUUGUCCCUUAGACCAAACACUCUAAAAGUGACAUUCUUUUUGAUGAUUGCGUGGCACAGGCCGUUUCCCAGACCUGCUUAAGUGCUGUUGGAAAAAGGACAACGCCUUCAUUCAUGUGAAGAGGGCACAAGCCCAAAAAGCAAUAUGGAAGGACAAAAAAACUGAUUCUAGUUUUGUCGUGUUGCAAAGCUACGACAUUCAGUAACUGGAAAAGCAAGAUUCCCAUCAAAUAUUGUUUAUUUUCAUCUUAAAGUUGCUGCAGGAUUGUGGAGAGGUUUUAUUCUACAAGGUUAAAUAGUCAAUUGGCAAAAAACAAAUUCAAAAAGUUCAAAAUUGCAUCAGCUGCGUCCUUAAAAGUCUCGUCCCGGCUCAAACAGACAGAUCUGCCUCAUGGCCGAAGUUUAUCUUCUCCUGUUCUGACAGGCUGUUUGUGACAGGUGCAGGGAGUGUGUGUGUGCAUGAAAGUGUGUGUGCGUGUAUGUGAUAGGUCCCCCCCCCCCUUCAUCCAUCUCUCCCUCGCAC
Pleuronectes platessa (European plaice) is the source of this 1717-nucleotide long non-coding RNA. RefSeq lists it as uncharacterized. The transcript has 3 exons. NCBI's taxonomy places the organism in Eukaryota, Metazoa, Chordata, Actinopteri, Pleuronectiformes, Pleuronectidae. The record is from RefSeq and is a predicted model, not a curated record.